Molecule: ribosomal RNA, 465 nt
Filed under: Vreelandella stevensii
Lineage: Bacteria; Pseudomonadati; Pseudomonadota; Gammaproteobacteria; Oceanospirillales; Halomonadaceae
Description: partial 16S ribosomal RNA
Rfam family: Bacterial small subunit ribosomal RNA
Source: RNAcentral
CCUACGGGGUGCAGCAGUGGGGAAUAUUGGACAAUGGGGGCAACCCUGAUCCAGCCAUGCCGCGGGUGUGAAGAAGGCCCUCGGGUUGUAAAGCACUUUCAGUGAGGAAGAACGCCUGGUGGUUAAUACCCAUCAGGAAAGACAUCACUCACAGAAGAAGCACCGGCUAACUCCGUGCCAGCAGCCGCGGUAAUACGGAGGGUGCGAGCGUUAAUCGGAAUUACUGGGCGUAAAGCGCGCGUAGGUGGCUUGAUAAGCCGGUUGUGAAAGCCCCGGGCUCAACCUGGGAACGGCAUCCGGAACUGUCAAGCUAGAGUGCAGGAGAGGAAGGUAGAAUUCCCGGUGUAGCGGUGAAAUGCGUAGAGAUCGGGAGGAAUACCAGUGGCGAAGGCGGCCUUCUGGACUGACACUGACACUGAGGUGCGAAAGCGUGGGUAGCAAACAGGAUUAGAUACCCUGGUAGUC